UAACAGAUGCGAGACCAUGGUAUGUGGA
This 28-nucleotide small RNA is filed under the name Bombyx mori (domestic silkworm). Its description in RNAcentral is "piRNA piR-bmo-2094255". The record is from RNAcentral. Lineage: Eukaryota; Metazoa; Arthropoda; Insecta; Lepidoptera; Bombycidae.